This 329-nucleotide long non-coding RNA is filed under the name Homo sapiens (human). RNAcentral describes it as "HSALNT0044806". The record is from RNAcentral. Lineage: Eukaryota; Metazoa; Chordata; Mammalia; Primates; Hominidae.
CGUCGCUUUCUAGUGUCUGUGGUGUCGGCGCUGCAGGAUGACGCGAGCCUCUCGCGUCCCUGGUUUUCUCGGUCGCAGCGUUGAGUUAUUGGGUGGAAAGAAAGGAAAAAGGAAGAAGCAGAGGGUCAGCAGAUGUUGAAAGAGGUAUAAUCAAGCUCAUACUCCAUUAAACAGAAAGCAAACUAAGAGCUGGAGAGAUGAAGAGACUUGGUCAACAUCAUACAUAUCUUUCAGCCAAGUUGCUUAAGAACAACAGUUGACUAGAACUGCACGUCUUCCUUCAAACACUGUCUACUGCAGAAUGCAAACAGGAACCUCUGGGAAUAUCU